CCCAUGUUUCUGAAAUUCUUGCCGCCA
RNAcentral lists this non-coding RNA (27 nucleotides) under Rattus norvegicus (Norway rat). Lineage: Eukaryota; Metazoa; Chordata; Mammalia; Rodentia; Muridae. The record is from RNAcentral.